This 301-nucleotide ribosomal RNA is filed under the name uncultured bacterium. RNAcentral's name for it is "partial 16S ribosomal RNA". It matches the Rfam family "Bacterial small subunit ribosomal RNA", at positions 509 to 809 of the family's 1533-position model. The record is from RNAcentral.
CAGUGCCGCGGUAAUACAGAGGGUGCGAGCGUUAAUCGGAUUUACUGGGCGUAAAGCGUGCGUAGGCGGCUUUUUAAGUCGGAUGUGAAAUCCCUGAGCUUAACUUAGGAAUUGCAUUCGAUACUGGGAAGCUAGAGUAUGGGAGAGGAUGGUAGAAUUCCAGGUGUAGCGGUGAAAUGCGUAGAGAUCUGGAGGAAUACCGAUGGCGAAGGCAGCCAUCUGCCUAAUACUGACGCUGAGGUACGAAAGCAUGGGGAGCAAACAGGAUUAGAUACCCGAGUAGUCCCUGUCUCUUAUACAC